Molecule: non-coding RNA, 2166 nt
Organism: Podarcis muralis (Common wall lizard)
Lineage: Eukaryota; Metazoa; Chordata; Lepidosauria; Squamata; Lacertidae
Source: RefSeq, a predicted model, not a curated record
ACAGUUAAUUGUGGCUCUUGCAACCCUCUCGCCUGCAAUUCAGGACAGGGCUACCGUAUGUGAAAAUUGUGCCAAGGUCAAUUGGGAAGGUGUGCUAAUUCUCACGUGAUGAAGUGGUUUUAGACUGUUGUUUGGUUUAGGCUGGAAUGCAUAGCCACAAGACUUACAAGCUGAUCACAGAAGCUUGCAAUGCAUGAAUCUUUUGAGGAGAAUGCAAGUGGGUUUGGGGGAUGGAAUCACAGUGAGAUGAAGUGUGCCAAUCAGUAAUGUGAGUACACCAGCUGUCAGUCUUGAGGCAGAAAUAGUCUGUUGAGGAAAGACUUCUACAAUACUGAGAGGUUUAUAGGAUUGGGGUGAAUGUUAAAAUGGUCUUGGUGCGUAGAUACAUACAUAAGGAGGGUUUUUGUUUUUUUGCCAGGCCAGGGGCGGGAGAAGAUGCAUGUUAUGAAUCUAGUGUGGAGUGAGCCUUCAAAUUGAUUCAGAGAGAUAUGGAGUAUGAGGAUGGAUGCUUGGUAGCUGAGAUAGUCCCUUUUACCUAUGUAUAGUUGAGUCUCUGGCACAUAAUGCACAACUAGUCCAUGUUGUAGAAAACAUGUCACACCCUUAUAACUACUCAGGUUCUCCUUGAGGUUAGUGUCCUCUGGAGCUCAGAGUACUUGAGCCCCGAAUUGCUUCCUCUUGCCUUCCAAGUAAAAUAAUUGCAGGGCAGGGAGCUUGAGUUCAGUAGAAAACUGGGCAUGGAUGAAGCCAGCUUCCACAUAAUCAGGUCUAAGUGCCAGGGCCUCCGAGGAUCACAUUAAGAAUAUCAAGCUACCUCAAUACCAGGAGCAAGGAGAGGAUGGUAGAAACCAGUGGCUUAAAGAUCUCUGCAACCCCACCCAUGCUCUUGGCAAUCAGGCUCAGGAAUCUGGUCAUAUAAUUGGACAGCUUGGCAUUACACCUGGGUAGAAAAAACUGAGUCUCAAGUAUUGAUGGGCCCAAGCAAAGUAUAGCUGUUGGGUGCAUUCAGGAUCUUCCUCAGGUACAUCAGUCUCAAGGAUGCCGGCAGCUUCUCUGCUUCAUUAUAGUGAUAAUUAUCUGCCUCCUUUGUGUGUAUGGCCAAUGCUGAGACACUGACUGUGACAAAAAGCCAAGGGCUAUCCAGUGUUUCUGGGGGUAAAGCAGAACAAGCCCUUCUGACUGCUUUCAACAGGCAUGUUUUGUGCAGUUGGGAGUCUUUCAUGGACCUAUGCUCUGUGGGACCACAUGUACAGCCUUUAUCUGAAUUUCGGCACCUCAUUCAUAAGCAUUCUGGUACCUUGCUGUGCCAGACAAGCAUAGUUGAGCUACUGUCUUGAAGAGGUUCUUGAUUCUCGAGAAACCAAACUUUGAUCAGGCUGACUCACCACUGUUGGCUGAAGAUACUUUGCUGCCCGAAGUGGAGACCAAAUGCUCCACUCUGCUGCAUUGCAGGACUGGCACUGGGUCUCCCAUGAAAUGGGAGGAGAAACUAUUGCAGGUGUCAAUGGAGCAAAGCCCAUGGUCAUGGUGUGAGGUAACUGGGCUAGAAAUGACAGGCUUGUAAGACUCAACCGUGUGAGCCACCUUGUUCAAUAUGACCUGUUUUGAGCAGAAGACAUGUGUAAGAUAAGCCUUUAUUACUGUUCCAAGGAGGGAGAUGGAACUCCCCUUAACCUCUGCUUUGUGAUGAGCCCUCCAGUCUCUAAGGUCUUGAUACCAGAUGCCCAUCCUUGACUGCAUUGGUUAUGAGUGACUUGGUCAUAUUGAAUGGUUCACACCCUGCUGGUGUUGCAGGGCUAUUGAGAACUUUGGUUUUCAGGGCUGAUAGUGGUGUUUAACUGUAAUGUCCUGGAUUGAUUACAAAAUGGAUUAUCUUGCAGAUUCCUAGAAAUCAAAGUUGGCCCCUUUUGGAAUGCCUAUAGAAUGGAUGUAACAUAAUUCCAACUGUGUUCUGAGGGUGGAGAUCCAAAACAGCCUAUGUGGUGUUAUUUUGGGACACUGAACAAAAUAAAAUGUACACUGUCAUAUAAAAUGGGGAUUGGAGGAGGAAUAAAGUUCCUAGUGGCUACUAGAAGGUGAAUGGAUGCGAAGAGUUUGCAUGUUUCAGUGAUUUUUGUAAAGCUGUCUCUUUUUGCAAAAAUAAAAGUUUAAACACAAAUGAACCAA